ACCGGGGCUAAUACCGGAUAAUAAGAGAAGAAGCAUUUCUUCUUUUUGAAAGUCGGUUUCGGCUGACACUUACAGAUGAGCCCGCGGCGCAUUAGCUAGUUGGUGAGGUAACGGCUCACCAAGGCGACGAUGCGUAGCCGACCUGAGAGGGUGAUCGGCCACACUGGGACUGAGACACGGCCCAGACUCCUACGGGAGGCAGCAGUAGGGAAUCUUCGGCAAUGGGCGAAAGCCUGACCGAGCAACGCCGCGUGAGCGAUGAAGGCCUUCGGGUCGUAAAGCUCUGUUGUUAGAGAAGAACAAGUACGAGAGUAACUGCUCGUACCUUGACGGUACCUAACCAGAAAGCCACGGCUAACUACGUGCCAGCAGCCGCGGUAAUACGUAGGUGGCAAGCGUUAUCCGGAAUUAUUGGGCGUAAAGCGCGCGCAGGCGGUCUCUUAAGUCUGAUGUGAAAGCCCACGGCUCAACCGUGGAGGGUCAUUGGAAACUGGGAGACUUGAGUGCAGGAGAGAAAAGUGGAAUUCCACGUGUAGCGGUGAAAUGCGUAGAGAUGUGGAGGAACACCAGUGGCGAAGGCG
This 581-nucleotide ribosomal RNA is filed under the name Bacillus sp. 38La. Its description in RNAcentral is "bacterial SSU rRNA". It matches the Rfam family "Bacterial small subunit ribosomal RNA", at positions 156 to 723 of the family's 1533-position model. Lineage: Bacteria; Bacillati; Bacillota; Bacilli; Caryophanales; Bacillaceae. The record is from RNAcentral.